This is an RNA transcript of Myotis davidii, 1766 nucleotides long. RefSeq lists it as uncharacterized. The transcript is spliced from 2 exons. Lineage: Eukaryota; Metazoa; Chordata; Mammalia; Chiroptera; Vespertilionidae. The record is from RefSeq and is a predicted model, not a curated record.
CCAGAAUCAAACCCGGGACCCUUGAGUCCGCAGGCCGAUGCUCUAUCCACCGAGCCAAACCGGUUAGGGCUGCAUGUCAUUAUUGUCUCUUCUAAAGUCUCAAAAGAAGCUAAAGACAUAACUUGAUGAGUAUUUUCUAGCUUCUUUGUAAAAUGGGACCUCCAUUUUCAGAAGGAACUUUAAAGAGACAGCCUUCUAAAAAGGCUUGAGUUUGAGAACAAAAAAUAAAUCUGAUAUUUAUCAUUUAAAAUUUUUGUUUGUUGUAGAUCUGGGUCUGCAAACAGAAUUCUCUUCUUGCCCUGUGUUAUUGUUCUUAAGAAGAAGCCAGUUAAGGAUAAAAUUACACCCACAUCGUUUUCAAAUGAUUAUGAUGCCAUUUUUUCUUCAAAAGUUUCCUUCCUCCACUUUCCCCUUCCCAUCCUAUCUUAGUUUUUAUAUACCACAUAUACCAUUGACAACAGGAAAUUCUAGUUGAAAACAGAAUUUUUGGUUUCACUUCACUUCAUAUUUGCAAAUAGAUACACGAACACUGCACAAGUUCAGGGAUGUUUGUAAAACUAUAUAUGUUAUUUGCUAAAUUAGAUCAGAUUUCUUUCAAGGUAGAUGAUGAAAUUUUAGAAUCAGCAAAUAUUUACUAAGUCUCCAAAUUUGCAUGGGACUAUUCAGGUAUAUUACAUAUAUCAGGGGUCAUAUGGCCAUCAGAAUAAAAUAGCUUUAAAAAUAUUUUUCACACUCUCCAUUUUGCCACCUCCUUUAAAAUCCAGUUUUACUUUAUUGUGUUCAGCUGUUUGAAAUGCAGGACAAAUGAUAAAUAAGAGUGCCCUUCUUUAUCUCUGUAAAAUCUAUUUUGAAAGCAUAGAAUUUUUAAGUAUAUUAUAUAAUGCAUUUUACUUUUACAUGUUUGUCAUAAUCUAGAUGACAUCUCAAGCAGCAGCAUCAUAGAGUCAUGCCUGAGAAAUGAGGAUGUUUGACUUCAAUGCCUAUCACCCUGUAGGGUUGGUCUCUGGGGCUGACAGGCUGAUUCAUUUGACUAAAGGGGGUCCCUUUCUUCCCUGCCCUUGCAGCUGUACCCCCAGCUGAAGAAGAUGGCCUUCCCUGAGAGAGGAAACCAUGCCACCACCUUGAGGCCUUCGCUUUCUACAAACUCAGCCUUGAAGACAAAAGGUUUCUAAAAGGAUUCCAUUUUGGCCUUUUCAAACCAGCUCAGAGGCAGACAGAAGAUUUAACAGUGACCAAAUAUCCUUGUGUCAGGUUAAUUUUUUACUUUUACUUUUUAAUUCAUUUAAUGUUGAUAAUGGAGGGAAAAGAGAAUAAAGGAUAAUGCAGGAAUAAAGGAAGAAAGAAACAUUUUUUCCACUGCUUGCUAGAUUAAUUCUUAGGCUACCCUGACUCCAGCCAUCAUACACAUCCUAAACAGCUCUAUUUAGUGAGCUAGAGGGAUUUUCUCAGGAUGUGUAAAUUUCCACACAGGGACUGCGAUGUGGUUUCAAAGUAUUAGUAUAUUCUGCCAAGCAUUGCUUGUUCAUAACUCCACAUUACCUGCUAAGUUAAGAAAAAGAAUCUAUAAAUUUGGCCAGUUCUGUGCAUGUAGCUGAACAAAAUUUUGAUUAAUUUCUGUUCUGUAGUUGGCUAUGGUUUUGGUUGUGUGAGAUAUUUGUCCCCUACGGUCUUGAAUAUAAAAUUCUGUACAACUAUUAAUUUUUUUUUGCUGAAAAACAUAUGUAUUAAAUAAGAAUAAACUAUUUGUAAACAUAGUGUUUAGGACU